GCGACAGGAGGGGCUCGGUGCAGGCUAAUCCACGCGCGGAGUCCAGGGUCCCUCUACAGCGGUUUCCCUGGGAACCACUCUGGCUGGAAAUCCUGUGGCUGCCUUUGGAGGAUGUGAACUCUCCUGGGAUGGACCAGAAGUGCUCUGCGCUCUGCUAUUAACCCCAUGAAAAGAGUUCUUUCCAGAUAAGCGGAUACUUGCGGCUGCGUGGAGUGGAUCCCAGUCCCAGUUUGCUACCAGCAAUCCCAACCCAAGACACAGAUGAGCAUUGUCUGGGAAAGCACACUGUCGUCACCUGCCUCCCCCAUCCCGGUCCCCACCACUCUCUGACUGAUGCCAUCGCCUAGAUGAUAAAGCGCCCGUCACUCAAGCACAGAAGUCGAAAUUCAUAGUUCAUUUCUUUACUUAUGUAAGAUCAUUCACUGACAAAAGAACUCAAAUGGAAAGGCUUUGGGCAUAUGCAGAAACGGGGAGAAAAAAAUAAUCUCUCCGAGUCAGAAGCCUCGGGGGAGCAUAGCAAGACUUAUCAAAGUUACAGUGCUCCAUUUGGAAAGCGCCAACCGCCAGCCCUCGGGCGAGGUGCAGUGGUGCAUAAUUAAUGUAGUCCCAGACACAGGUCACUGAAGUGCCCCACAGGUGUGUGCCUGGUUUUCAAUAAGGCCUUUCCCUCGGAACUCCUCUUCCGACUUUGAGUUUGUGCUCCCGGAAGCCUUGCACGAUCGGGAGAAUUCAGAAGAACGAUCUGAAUGCCCAUCAAUAGAAAAUGGCAAGAAAUUACGGCAGAUCUAGUCUCUGGAAUCCUAGGUAUUUGGGGAAAAGAAGCAAGCUGGGUCCCAAAACACUGAUAUAGAAAAGUGGCUGUAGUUUUUGUUGUUGGUGUUGUUUUGUUUUUGCUUUUCAUCAGGAAGGCAAAUAGAAAAAGGUUCACAAUAUUCCAUUUUUUGCAAGACUUCCAUUUUUCAAGUAAGUCUUUGUCCUGAAGGUCACACCAAUGCCCUCAUUAUAUAUGCCCUUCCUGCAAUAUGUGGCUUUUCUGGGUUUCCUGAGCAGGCUGCAGUUUGAGUUUGAACCCUGGGCCUACAGGUGCACAGAUGCUAUCAGCAUUGAUUUGUCCCUCUCGAGACUUUCCAGAUUUGGAGACGUGCCACGCAGUGGAGCGUGAUGACUGUCCAAGAGCUGUUAAGGAGCUACCUCGUGCCCCCGACCACAACCCCCUGCGCGCGCCCCCUGGCGGGGAAGAGGCUUGGCCCCCAUGGGAUAUCAGAAGCAGGAGAACCCUAAGAAAGCGCCCCUCCCUCUGUGCUUGAGGAGACUACUCCGAAGUGGGAUUUCUUCCCGCAAACUUUUCCAGAAGAAUCCGGCGUGAGAAGUAGACACACCUGCUGAAACCGGCCAGCACAGCUACGCAUCCCAUCACUUCAUUGUUUCUGGAUUAACUUCCGGUUGUUUUGUUUUAUUUAACUUUCUCCUUCACCAGCCUUGCUUGCUUUUCCCAAAUAAAGUGGACCCCG
Molecule: long non-coding RNA, 1511 nt
Filed under: Mus musculus (house mouse)
Lineage: Eukaryota; Metazoa; Chordata; Mammalia; Rodentia; Muridae
Description: RIKEN cDNA 4933412E12 gene, transcript variant 2 (4933412E12Rik)
Source: RNAcentral